RNAcentral lists this long non-coding RNA (413 nucleotides) under Dermacentor andersoni. RNAcentral describes it as "uncharacterized LOC126523533". The record is from RNAcentral. Lineage: Eukaryota; Metazoa; Arthropoda; Arachnida; Ixodida; Ixodidae.
CACAAUGACAUUUCUGGACAUACCCCGAACUCUGAAAUUUGCAGCGUUAGGAUGUUUUUUUAUGGCUGGUGUGGAAGUUAUCAAGACAGGCCCAUCUACUUCACGAAAGGUUCUAUUGUACACUCUCAUGGACAUUGCAUACUUGGUAUCAUGUGCUGCGACAUGUUCUGUAUAUAUAUCAGAAAUAUAUUACGUUUUCUGCAACGACACUGCAGGCAUUAGAUGGACUGAAAGUCAAGUUUUCGACGUCGCCUUCAUCUUGGUGUUCUGCGUCGCUAUGGUGGUGUUGUGUGCCAUAUUUAUCGAGCGACGAGUUAGAGGCGCAUGCGUGCCAGGUAUCAUAUGCGUUGUUCACGGCAUGAUUCUUUCAACGUCAAUAAGUGACGUUUUUCAGGCAGUCGAAUAUGAGUACU